AAGCCACUUAGUCAUGAAGGCAAGUGUAUGCGCAACAAGGAAUCUCUAAUCCUCGAUAAGAGAGGAAUAAUACUCUAAGAUAUGAUUCGGGAAUCUUCGGCCGAAGUAUCGAGCGUAAUAAAGGAAAGCGUUCCUAUACGACUCAAUUGGAUCAUAUAAGAAGGAAUAAUCACAUUAGGGGUUUGACAUGAUAUAUCUGAUGUGAGAAUUUACUUGACACACAAAUUAAACCCUCUUUUUGACAAUUGUAGUAUAGAUGUAAGUAGGGUAUCGUUCUAGGCCGGGGAUUAGGAGGGAUUGCUAAUCUAUUCUAAAUUAAUUUAAAAAUAUUAAACAAGAUUCAAGGACACAAAACUAGGCUAAAAACUCUAAUAACUCGAAACACACUUAGAAUGACUCAAAAUAAUGAAAACAAUCAAAUUAGACACUAGGAACUGAAAUGGACGGAAAUUGAAUUAAAAGACUAACAAUAAAGAAAACUAACUAAAUAAUAUAAUUUAAUAAUG
This 506-nucleotide long non-coding RNA is filed under the name Malus domestica (apple). RNAcentral's name for it is "long non-coding RNA (MDOM_LNC018180)". The record is from RNAcentral. Lineage: Eukaryota; Viridiplantae; Streptophyta; Magnoliopsida; Rosales; Rosaceae.